This 255-nucleotide ribosomal RNA is filed under the name uncultured bacterium. RNAcentral's name for it is "partial 16S ribosomal RNA". It matches the Rfam family "Bacterial small subunit ribosomal RNA", at positions 524 to 776 of the family's 1533-position model. The record is from RNAcentral.
UACGAAGGGGGGCUAGCGUUGCUCGGAAUCACUGGGCGUAAAGCGCACGUAGGCGGAUUGUUAAGUCAGGGGUGAAAUCCUGGAGCUCAACUCCAGAACUGCCUUUGAUACUGGCGAUCUCGAGUCCGGGAGAGGUGAGUGGAACUGAGAGUGUAGAGGUGAAAAUUCGUAGAUAUUCGGAGGAACACCAGUGGCGAAGGCGGCUCACUGGCUCGGUACUGACGCUGAGGUGCGAAAGCGUGGGGAGCAAACAGA